AGCAGGCUGAGCAAUUGCGGGCGCUUCUGCGCGUGAGGAAAGUCCGAGCAUCACACAGCAGGGUAACGGCUAACGGCCGCCGAGGGUGACCUCCGGGACAGUGCAUAGAGAUAUACCGCCGCUUUUGCGGUAAGGGUGGAAAGGCGAGGUAAGAGCUCACCGGGAUAUUGGUAACAAUAUUGCCAAGUAAACCCUACCCGAUGCAACAUCGACUGAAGUUGUCAGCUGGGCAGAUACUUCGACGGAUGGCUUGAACGUGCCGGUAACGGUACGUCUAGACAGAUAAUUGCUUUAAAUGACAGAACUCGGCUUACAGGGCUGCUC
RNAcentral lists this RNase P RNA (324 nucleotides) under bovine gut metagenome. Its description in RNAcentral is "Bacterial RNase P class A". It matches the Rfam family "Bacterial RNase P class A". Rfam says of the family: Ribonuclease P (RNase P) is a ubiquitous endoribonuclease, found in archaea, bacteria and eukarya as well as chloroplasts and mitochondria. Its best characterised activity is the generation of mature 5'-ends of tRNAs by cleaving the 5'-leader elements of precursor-tRNAs. The record is from RNAcentral.